Pteropus alecto (black flying fox) is the source of this 73-nucleotide non-coding RNA. Lineage: Eukaryota; Metazoa; Chordata; Mammalia; Chiroptera; Pteropodidae. The record is from Rfam.
GGUUCCAUAGUGUAGUGGUUAACAUGUCUGCUUUACACACAGAAGGUCCUGGGUUCCCGCUCCAGUGGAGCCA